AGAGUUUGAUCCUGGCUCAGAAUGAACGCUGGCGGCGUGCCUAACACAUGCAAGUCGAACGGGAACACCCCUGCUUGCAGGGGUAAGUAAAGUGGCGCACGGGUGAGUAACACGUGGGUAAUCUGCCUCCGGAUCCGGGAUAACGCUGCGAAAGCGGCGCUAAUACCGGAUGUGAUAAGGGGAACUCCGGUUUCCGUUAUCAAAGACGGCCUCUGCACGCAAGCCGUUGUCCGGGGAUGAGCCCGCGCACCAUUAGCUGGUUGGCGGGGUAACGGCCCACCAAGGCUGCGAUGGUUAGCUGGUCUGAGAGGAUGAUCAGCCACACCGGAACUGGAACACGGUCCGGACUCCUACGGGAGGCAGCAGUGAGGAAUUUUGCGCAAUGGGGGAAACCCUGACGCAGCAACGCCGCGUGAGUGAGGAAGGCCUUCGGGUCGUAAAGCUCUGUCAGGCGGGAAGAAUCCGGGGAUGUGCAAUAUAUGUCCCCGCUGACGGUACCGCCGGAGGAAGCACCGGCUAACUCCGUGCCAGCAGCCGCGGUAAUACGGAGGGUGCAAGCGUUAUUCGGAAUUAUUGGGCGUAAAGGGCGCGCAGGCGGUUUUCCAAGUCGGAUGUGAAAGCCCGGGGCUUAACCCCGGAAGCGCAUCUGAUACUGGAAGGCUUGAGUAUGGGAGAGGGAAGCGGAAUUCCUGGUGUAGCGGUGAAAUGCGUAGAUAUCAGGAGGAACACCGGCGGCGAAGGCGGCUUCCUGGACCAAUACUGACGCUGAGGCGCGAAGGCGCGGGGAGCAGACAGGAUUAGAUACCCUGGUAGUCCGCGCAGUAAACGGUGACCACUGGGUGUGGCGGGUAUUUACCCCUGCCGCGCCGAAGCUAACGCAUUAAGUGGUCCGCCUGGGGAGUACGGUCGCAAGAUUAAAACUCAAAGGAAUUGACGG
RNAcentral lists this ribosomal RNA (937 nucleotides) under uncultured bacterium. RNAcentral describes it as "bacterial SSU rRNA". It matches the Rfam family "Bacterial small subunit ribosomal RNA", at positions 8 to 916 of the family's 1533-position model. The record is from RNAcentral.